GCGCCCGUAGCUCAGGGGAUAGAGCAGCGGCCUUCUAAGCCGAGGGUCGGGGGUUCGAAUCCCUCCGGGCGCGCCA
RNAcentral lists this transfer RNA (76 nucleotides) under Pseudomonadota bacterium. RNAcentral describes it as "tRNA-Arg". It matches the Rfam family "tRNA". From Rfam's summary of the family: Transfer RNA (tRNA) molecules are approximately 80 nucleotides in length. Their secondary structure includes four short double-helical elements and three loops (D, anti-codon, and T loops). Further hydrogen bonds mediate the characteristic L-shaped molecular structure. tRNAs have two regions of fundamental functional importance: the anti-codon, which is responsible for specific mRNA codon recognition, and the 3' end, to which the tRNAs corresponding amino acid is attached (by aminoacyl-tRNA synthetases). tRNAs cope with the degeneracy of the genetic code in two manners: having more than one tRNA (with a specific anti-codon) for a particular amino acid; and 'wobble' base-pairing, i.e. permitting non-standard base-pairing at the 3rd anti-codon position. The record is from RNAcentral. Lineage: Bacteria; Pseudomonadati; Pseudomonadota. RNAcentral also lists the same sequence under 1 other name.